Molecule: ribosomal RNA, 425 nt
Filed under: uncultured bacterium
Lineage: Bacteria
Description: partial 16S ribosomal RNA
Rfam family: Bacterial small subunit ribosomal RNA
Source: RNAcentral
GUGGGGAAUCUUAGACAAUGGGCGCAAGCCUGAUCUAGCCAUGCCGCGUGAGCGAUGAAGGCCUUAGGGUUGUAAAGCUCUUUCGUGGGGGAAGAUAAUGACUGUACCCCAAGAAGAAGCCCCGGCUAACUCCGUGCCAGCAGCCGCGGUAAUACGGAGGGGGCUAGCGUUGUUCGGAAUUACUGGGCGUAAAGCGCACGUAGGCGGACUGGAAAGUCAGGGGUGAAAUCCCGGGGCUCAACCCCGGAACUGCCUUUGAAACUCCCAGUCUUGAGUUCGAGAGAGGUGAGUGGAAUUCCGAGUGUAGAGGUGAAAUUCGUAGAUAUUCGGAGGAACACCAGUGGCGAAGGCGGCUCACUGGCUCGAUACUGACGCUGAUGUGCGAAAGCGUGGGGAGCAAACAGGAUUAGAAACCCCAGUAGUCC